RNAcentral lists this long non-coding RNA (825 nucleotides) under Homo sapiens (human). RNAcentral's name for it is "HSALNT0393516". The record is from RNAcentral. Lineage: Eukaryota; Metazoa; Chordata; Mammalia; Primates; Hominidae.
GCGCGCUUGGGCGCAGCCUCGGAUUUCACGUCGGGCCCGACCUGGCUGUCUUUGGGGAGGAUGAAAAUCGCUUGAACCUGGGAGGCGAAGGUUGCAAUGAGCCGAGAUUGCGCCACUGCACUCCAGCCUGGGCAACAAGAGUGAAACUCCGUCUCAAAAAUGAAAAUAAAAUAAAUAAAAAUGAAACAGCCUUUUAAGAAUGCAAUUAUUAGGCAACGUCUUCAAAAGCCAUGAAAAUGUUCAUAUGCUUUGAUGCACAAAUUGCUUCUAGAAGUUCAUCUUAGGAAAUAUCCUGCUUUACUUGUAGUUUGGUAAAGUUUGGUUUAUUGCAUCCAGGCCACUUGGACAAAUGAAUUUUGUGGUAUAUGUCACAAACUAUGCUGUAGAACUGCAUUUUAUACUGUCUUAGAGACCUCUCUUUGUUCACAGAAGUUUAGAGAAUAAGUAUUUGUGGAAUGGAGAAGAAAGAAGUUCAAUUAGGGUAAAAUCACAUCUUAUCAAUGUUCUAUAGCAAUGUCAGUUACCAUUUAAUGAGUAUCGAUAAUGAUAGUGAAAUAAACGAUAUGUACUUAAAGGGCAAAACAAGAUAAAUUUUAAAGCUCGUAUUUCAAUAUCUUCAUGACAUUGAGAAAGUUUAAGGACCAGAUUUUGAAGCUCUAGAUAUCAGAAACUGGUAUCUGGGUGUAUUGGGGCAAUUCACAGGAUGUGUGGAGGAGUGGGUAUGUACCUGCCCCGUGGCUGUGUUUCUAAAUGAACUAAAAAAGAAAAAAAAAUCCCCUUUUAAAUACCCAGAAGCACUAACCCACAUUUUGAACUAAUUGACUU